CCUGAGCAGAGCUGCAGAGAGCAGGUGCUGGUGCUUUCCUGAGGCUUCUGGAGAGGGAUCCUCCGGAUGUGUGAGGGAGGAAGAGCAGGCACUGAGCAAAGAAGACAGGAAGAAGGUGCAGAUGGCAAGCAUGGAGUCAGCAUGCAUCUAUGCCGUGAGAGGACAUCAGAGCUCUGUGCUUGCACAGGUGCAUCGCAUAUCCCAAGCGGUGGGAGCAUUUUGCACAUCUGGAAACAGUCCCUCAGCAUCUGAUUCUGAUUCUGAUGAUUCUGGUGCAGCAGAACACAUCCUGGUAUUGCCCUGAACUCCGCAAUGGUCAUAGGGCUCAGCACUGCUCCCACCCGCAGCUCUCUGGAGGGGUUCCCCCAUUAACUGCAGCUCCUGCAGUGCACAUCAAGGUUUCAAAAAGUGAUUCAUUGCCCAAAAUGGGGAAGGGAUGCAGGGCUGCCUAAUUGCCACCCCGUGUGUAUGGCUGCUGUAAUGCAGCGGUGCUGCAGCUCUGGGAGCCCACAGUGCGCUGCCUUUUCAGCCCAGCCUCACUGUGCAGCUCACAAGGAAACGAAGCUGAGCCCAUCAGCAGAAGACUGAUGAACUGAAGAACAAGCUAACUAACAUUUAUAUCUGAUUUCUUCUGUCCUGCCCAGCAGCUGAAGGUGGACUCUGUCCAGGGUAUUUCUGCACCCACUGCACUAUACACAAAGAUAUGUGUACACAAUGCACACCUGUAUAUAGAGAAACAGACAGACAGACAGGUGCAUGUAGGGAUAUGUACCCCUGCACUCACUUUCAUAUGCACACAUCCACACAGACCUGUGCGGGCACCUUUGCAUGCAUGCAUUUCUAUGUCAGGA
Long non-coding RNA from Centrocercus urophasianus (Greater sage-grouse), 851 nucleotides. RefSeq lists it as uncharacterized. Lineage: Eukaryota; Metazoa; Chordata; Aves; Galliformes; Phasianidae. The transcript is spliced from 3 exons. The record is from RefSeq and is a predicted model, not a curated record.